GACGAACGCUGGCGGCGUGCCUAAUACAUGCAAGUAGGACGCAGUUGCGAACGGGUGAGUAACGCGUAGGUAACUGCAUAUUCGAGGGGGAUAACUAUUGGAAACGAUAGCUAAUACCGCAUACUAGUAGAUGGACCUGCGUUGGAUUAGCUAGUAAGUCGUGUAAUGGCCUACCUAGGCGACGAUACAUAGCCGAGCUGAGAGGGUGAUCGGCCACACGGGGACGGAGACACGGCCCAGACUCCUACGGGAGGCAGCAGUAGGGAAGCUUCGGCAAUGGGGGGAACCCUGACCGAGCAACGCCGCGUGAGUGAAGAAGGUUUUCGGAUCGUAAAGCUCUGGUGUUAAGGAAGCGGUACUUAACAAGAAAGGGACGGCUAACUACGUGCCAGCAGCCGCGUAAUAC
RNAcentral lists this ribosomal RNA (406 nucleotides) under uncultured bacterium. RNAcentral describes it as "partial 16S ribosomal RNA". It matches the Rfam family "Bacterial small subunit ribosomal RNA", at positions 28 to 526 of the family's 1533-position model. The record is from RNAcentral.